GGGUGAGUAACACGUGGGCAAUCUGCCCUGCACUCUGGGACAAGCCCUGGAAACGGGGUCUAAUACCGGAUACGACACUCUCGGGCAUCCGAUGAGUGUGGAAAGCUCCGGCGGUGCAGGAUGAGCCCGCGGCCUAUCAGCUUGUUGGUGAGGUAAUGGCUCACCAAGGCGACGACGGGUAGCCGGCCUGAGAGGGCGACCGGCCACACUGGGACUGAGACACGGCCCAGACUCCUACGGGAGGCAGCAGUGGGGAAUAUUGCACAAUGGGCGAAAGCCUGAUGCAGCGACGCCGCGUGAGGGAUGACGGCCUUCGGGUUGUAAACCUCUUUCAGCAGGGAAGAAGCGAAAGUGACGGUACCUGCAGAAGAAGCGCCGGCUAACUACGUGCCAGCAGCCGCGGUAAUACGUAGGGCGCAAGCGUUGUCCGGAAUUAUUGGGCGUAAAGAGCUCGUAGGCGGCUUGUCACGUCGGUUGUGAAAGCCCGGGGCUUAACCCCGGGUCUGCAGUCGAUACGGGCAGGCUAGAGUUCGGUAGGGGAGAUCGGAAUUCCUGGUGUAGCGGUGAAAUGCGCAGAUAUCAGGAGGAACACCGGUGGCGAAGGCGGAUCUCUGGGCCGAUACUGACGCUGAGGAGCGAAAGCGUGGGGAGCGAACAGGAUUAGAUACCCUGGUAGUCCACGCCGUAAACGGUGGGCACUAGGUGUGGGCGACAUUCCACGUCGUCCGUGCCGCAGCUAACGCAUUAAGUGCCCCGCCUGGGGAGUACGGCCGCAAGGCUAAACUCAAAGGAAUUGACGGGGCCCGCACAAGCGGCGGAGCAUGUGGCUUAAUUCGACGCAACGCGAAGAACCUUACCAAGGCUUGACAUACACCGGAAACAUCCAGAGAUGGGUGCCCCCUUGUGGUCGGUGUACAGGUGGUGCAUGGCUGUCGUCAGCUCGUGUCGUGAGAUGUUGGGUUAAGUCCCGCAACGAGCGCAACCCUUGUCCCGUGUUGCCAGCAGGCCCUUGUGGUGCUGGGGACUCACGGGAGACCGCCGGGGUCAACUCGGAGGAAGGUGGGGACGACGUCAAGUCAUCAUGCCCCUUAUGUCUUGGGCUGCACACGUGCUACAAUGGCCGGUACAAUGAGCUGCGAUACCGCGAGGUGGAGUGAAUCUCAAAAAGCCGGUCUCAGUUUGGAUUGGGGUCUGCAACUCGACCCCAUGAAGUCGGAGUCGCUAGUAAUCGCAGAUCAGCAUUGCUGCGGUGA
RNAcentral lists this ribosomal RNA (1253 nucleotides) under Streptomyces sp. C44. RNAcentral's name for it is "bacterial SSU rRNA". It matches the Rfam family "Bacterial small subunit ribosomal RNA", at positions 104 to 1365 of the family's 1533-position model. The record is from RNAcentral. Lineage: Bacteria; Bacillati; Actinomycetota; Actinomycetes; Kitasatosporales; Streptomycetaceae.